UACGGGGGGGGCAAGCGUUGUUCGGAAUUACUGGGCGUAAAGCGCACGUAGGCGGAUUUUUAAGUCAGGGGUGAAAUCCCGGGGCUCAACCUCGGAACUGCCUUUGAUACUGCAAGUCUCGAGUCCGAUAGAGGUGGGUGGAAUUCCUAGUGUAGAGGUGAAAUUCGUAGAUAUUAGGAAGAACACCGGUGGCGAAGGCGGCCCACUGGAUCGGUACUGACGCUGAGGUGCGAAAGCGUGGGGAGCAAACAGG
Molecule: ribosomal RNA, 253 nt
Filed under: uncultured bacterium
Lineage: Bacteria
Description: partial 16S ribosomal RNA
Rfam family: Bacterial small subunit ribosomal RNA
Source: RNAcentral